GGCCAACAAAUAUAAAACCAGAGAGAUCUACGCUUGCAAAGUGGCUGUCAGAGAUGUUCUUCAUUUCUGGGUUACCCAGAAAUGAAGAACAGUUCGACUGUCCACUUUUGGGCUUCCACAACUUGAUAUCCUGUUGAUGUUUAAGUGAUUUAAGGCUUUCAGGUUCUAGACCACAUGUAGUACUAUAGAUCUAUCACAAAACAUCAACAUAACAACAACACAUCAACCAAAUAUGGACCAGUCAAAGUAGUGGUCAGAAACUGCUUAUGAAGGCUUCUGGGUUACUCAGAAACUUCAUCCGGCAGUUUCGUCCACACCACUUUGACCACUGAUUACUUUGAGUCAAAUAAGGAUAUAAAGAUUCUAGAGGCAUGGUCAUGUAGCCUACACUUCAGACAACAACAUUACCACAAUAACAGAGUCUAACAUGUAAAAACAAGCAAGAUUUAAAUGCAUGAACAUGCUGUCAGACUUUCUGGGCACGUUCUGGGUUACCCAGAAACGUUCGGUCAAUGCCGGUCAAUGUGGUUUGACCACUAAUAACUUUCAAUCAGCUUAUGAUCUGACUCUGAUUCCAGUUUCAGAUCAAAGAUCUCAUGGCAUACUACAAGAUCAAAGCUUAAAAAUACAAAAACUAAACACAGAAGGAGAUCUACAAGGCCUGACAUUCCUUGUCAGACAACAAAAUUUUAUUUUUUUUCAGAUUUUGUAAAUCUUCAAAUCCGAGCCUCUAGAUGUUAUGGAUCUAACAUCUAGCAACCCAGAUCAUCUUUAUACACUACAUACAACAUAUUUAACACAAAAAAACUAACAUCUAACAUAGGAUCAAAAGUCAGAUUUUUUUUUUUAGGGUUUAUACCUCCUAUGAGCAAUCUUUGAUUCUUGGCUACUGAUUUGGUUCUGGAAUUCAUGGGGCUUGAUUCAAGGACUGGUCUAGUACUGGAAAUUCGUGGGGUUUAGAGAGAGAGGCUCAAGGUUGAGUGUUUAUGCAAAAUAUGAGCUAGCAAGUGACAUUUUCUCUCUCUUAAUCUAUUUAUACCACUUAGAUUCAAUGAAUCUAACUUGCAAGGUGUCAAUAGAGAUAAGCUUGAAUGAGUUUUAGGCAUGUGCUAUAAAUCUAGAGUGAUGACUUGCAAUCUAGCUUAUUAAAUAAAUACCAAAAAGGCUAAGUUAGUAAACUAAAAAAGUAAUUUAAGGGUAUUUUUGUCAAUGAUGCUUGAAUCUAGGUUAAAAUCAAUAGAUCUUAAACCUUAAGGUUUCCCAAAUAAUUUCUAGGGUUUAAAAAUUUAAGUUUAAAGUUUAAUAAAAUUUUAAUUAGACCACACUAAUUAAAAUUAGGAAUUUUAAAAUAAUUAGGGUUUCUUAAUAUUAUUAGGGUUUUCUAAUUAACAAUAUAAUUUAUUAAAAUACUAAUUAAGGUUACCAUUUUAGCAAUAAGGAUUUCAAAUUGGAAAUUAGGGUUUCAAAUUUACAAUUAGGGUUUCUAGACAAUAAUUAGGGUUUACCUAAUUAGCACAAUAUAAUAAUUGUCAUUAAUCACGUACCACUAUUUUUUACCAAUCGAAAACUCCGGUUUGAGUUUCAAAUUAGGGUUUAACGAAUCAAUGCUACUGUUUUAACAUGCCACAACAUAAUUGACCAACCAUUAUCUAUACAUACAUACAGUAUAUAUUUAUAGCACUGAGAAUCAAAAUAUAAUAUUAUUAUAUCAUUAUUCUCAUUCCUCGAUAAAAAUCCAAAAUUAGAGUUUGGAUUCCAUAUCUGAUUUAUUAUUCAUAUUUAACAUUAUUAAUUAAGUUAAAAUAAUUAACUUAAUUAAACUAGCAUAAAUUCAUAUAUUAAAAUAGAUUAAUUAUUAUAAUAAUUCUAAUAAUUAUUUCAUAUAUUAUUUAAAUAAUAUAUAAUUAUAUUUUCAUGGAAAAUAAAUAAUAAAAACAUUUCUACUAUAAAAUUAAUUAUUAAAAGAAUAAACUUUAUAAUAAUCAAUAAUUCUAAAAUAAAAUUAUUUGUAAACAUUCAUGUAAUAAAUAUAUUUUUAUUUACUACAUAAUUACAUAUACACAUUAUCUUGUACAAAUUAUCAUCCUUAAAAUAAUAAUAAAAAAAAAAUAUACGCAAAAUUUCUGAUUUAAUUAUAUAGAAAAUAUCGGGUUGUUACAUUCACCCACCCUUAUAAAGAUUUCGUCCCGGAAUCACCGUUUUAAAACCUAUACAUACCAGGGUACAUAGCAUACACAAUUAUUGCAAGUAGAUCUCGAUCAUAAUCUGAUCGAGCUGAUCUUUAACUAUUCACAUAAAGCUUGUCUUUCUGAUUAAACGAAAAUUUGAUUCCUAAAAGAACUCAAAUUCCUCCUUCAAAAUAUCUUUAUAAAAUAAUUUACUAUAUAUAAGAAAAUAAUAUAUAAUAAAUAAAAUUUGUUCGAGUAAUAUCCGAAAUUGCAUCCCCGACUGCUACAGUUUCUUGAACGGUCAUGUUGAAGACGCUUGCAGUUGAUUUCGUUGGUUUGAUUGUUGAUGUUGGUCCCGUUAUCGCCAAUGUUCUGCUACCUUUUCCUUGUUUGCGCAUUCCUGACCUCCUUUCUCCUUCCUGAACAGUCUUUCACCUUAUACUCCAUUGUUCCACACUUAAAACAUGCAGACUUGCCCUUUAUCUCUUUUCCUUUUUAUCGUAUAGGUGACAAAAAUAUCUUUUGCCCCUUCGUUACCCUAGUUAUCACAAACACGUCUAUAGGGUCAGUUGAUCUUCCGAAUCCUGGCAGUACGAUGGCCUUGAAGUCUUUGACGUUCGUCGAUCGAUUAUCUGGCUGAUCUUCCAGCGACUGGUAUUCCGUUUUGCAUAGCUUGAUCGUCCAUAUUCGCAAAAUUCUGUAUCGGGUCUGGUUGUCUUCCAGGUUUGUUGACAGGUUCUUCUGUCCGUGUAUUUCGUUUUCGUCUCCUUGGCGGCAUUAUCACAAUUUGUUCUUUAUUCUAAGCCUUAUCGUAUACGUAUAAUCAUAUAACACGAAAUUCUAUCUUUAUCAUGUACUCAAUAUAUUAUAUAUUUUAAAAUUUUGGUUUUCUGCAUUAACCAGUACUCAUAUAAUUAACUACUAUCUUUAUACAAACUUAUUUCAUUAAUCCCAUAUAAAUUCAUACUCAUUUCACUUGACAUACCAUAGCACAUAUUGCUUUAAUAAUCCGCUAUCCCUUUGUGACAUAAAAGUCGGGAAUCACUGCCACAACUUAUACGAAAGUUGAGAAUAUUACAUUACACAUUAUAGAGCAUACAUAUUCUACUAAUACUACUUAUUUCUUACACCUUUACUAAUGAUCAUUUGCUUAGUAAUUUGUUUAUUCCCAUUAUCCUCAAUAAUCCAUUUAUACCUAACUAUACCUAGUUCGUCCAACUUACCAUAUAUUAUGAGUUUAAGAACUCACCACAAACAUAUGAGUUUAAGAACUCGACAUUGACCACAUAUUCUUUAACUAUACUUUACCUAUCAGUCAUACUAUCGUUUCAAGGUAUGGUACUAUACUUUUUAAAACAACCACCUCAUUGAGGUAGCUUUCAAUGUGAGCCUCUAUUUUAGCUAUUGGCUUUGAUAUUGGCUCGGUUCUGGAGGUUGACUUCUUCUUUACGGUUUGAGGGUAUCCUAAUCCUUUUCUAUCUGACAUCUACACACAAACUAUCUUGAUUAUCACUUAAUAUAUACACACAGCACACAAUAAUUUUAUAUAAGUUAUCUUUUAUUUUGUUUGACGAUGAAUUUAUUCAAUUCAUCUCCUUAUAAACUCUAUAUGAGUUAUUUGUAUUUUCAACAUUUCCCUCUGUUCUAAGAUUAUAACCUAAGGUCUAACCCACCUAAGGUUUCAAACCCUAAGCUCUGAUACCAUAAUGUGGCGCCCCUAAAUUCGGAUACUUGAAACCCGAACUCGGUGCUUCACGAUACCAUUUCUAUGAGCGGAAUAAUACUAAUAAUAAUAACAAUAAUAUAAAUAACAAACUUAGUUUACAUAUAUCAGAGUCUAAUCCUAAGUACGCAACCUUUACUAUAAUUCCUUACAUGAUAGAUAAUAUAUAUCAUUGCCUUAAUACAGUCUAACUAUUACAAAAGAUACUAUUAAACAUAUUCUGUUUGCUUUUCCUUUUCACUUGUUCUUGUCUGAACCUUCAGGUUGAUCACGCUUAGCUGAAAACAUUUAAAUUAAGCAAGGAUGAGCAUUUUGAGUGCCUAGCAAGUAAUAACAAUUAUAAUUAUAUUUAGCUGAAAGAAUUAAAUGUUUUCUUUGUACAUCACUUCUUCAACGAAUUAAUAGUUGUGAAGUCAACUGAACCUAUAAUAAUAACAUAACAAUUCUAUCUCAAAUUUUUGAAACUACGUAUUGACUAUAUAUAUAGGGUAGUCGACAUACUAUAAACAUUGUUUUUAGUUUUCGUUAAGGUUUAGCCAAAUUUCAUCUGCAAACGAACGAGGGUGAUCUGCCCAAUGUGCCCUGUAUUGAUCAAUACUACAUUACAAGAACGAUAUUAUCGUUCACUCUGUCCGCCUUGGGCGCAUAAAAGUUUUCCAGUGAUCGGGAUGUUCAUAUUUAGACUGGAAUCCGAACCAAAACAAUUUUAAUUGGAUACAAAAAGAUUUUUAUCAUAUUCAACGACAAUUCUAAAUUUGUGUCUAGCUGAUCAAAUAGCUUAGACGGCUUAUAUAUAUAUAUAUAUAUAUAUAUAUAUANNNNNNNNNNNNNNNNNNNNNNNNNNNNNNNNNNNNNNNNNNNNNNNNNNNNNNNNNNNNNNNNNNNNNNNNNNNNNNNNNNNNNNNNNNNNNNNNNNNNCAAGUGGGGACACUUGUAUAACCAUAUAUAAAAAUUAACGAACAGAAUAUAUAUAUGAAUUACUAUAUACUAACAUGUUGAUAAUCAAUGAUCGGAUAUAGAAUAUAUCACAAUAGGGUUAAUAAUAUAGAAUAAUAAUAAUAUAAUUCUGAAACUUCUUACUCAUGUCCAUUGCAUAAAGGAAAUGCAAAUGUAAGAUACUUGUCUGAUGUGCUGCUUACAGUUGUAAUUAGUUCUAUCUUUUAUAUCAUGACCUAUCAUUAAUUAGAUCAUUUUACUGAUUAGAAUAACAUAUUAUAACACAUAACGCUGCUUAUUGCAGUCAACACAUAACCUAAUCACAUUGGCACAUAAGUUUAACAACCAUUGAAUCACAAAUAAUCACAUGUUUAAUUAAAUUAUAUAAGUCCAGAUCAAUUUCUGAAAUAUGUCGGUGUACCGAUGGUUUAAUCGGGUAAUUAUCGAGUCUAAAAUUCUGUCCCGUAACUUAGUAUCAGUCAUAUUAUUUUUAAAUGACUUAAUAAAAUUUUUAAAACAUUUAUUAUAACUUAUCAUGAAUUUUUAAACAUCAGAAUCAUUAUUAAAUGAUUUAAAUAUUAAUUAAUUUUAUUAUCAUUAACAUUUAAUUAAUAUUAAACUAUUAAUAAAACCAUUGCCAAAAUAUUAAAGUUAUUUAUAAUAACUUAGAAUAUUUUUAAAGUAUUAAUAUUACCCUUAAAAUGAUUUUUUAAAUAUUUAAAAUCAUUUUUAAAUAAUUAUCAUUAAUAUUAAAAUAUUAAUGUAUUAUUUAUCAAAAUAUUAAAAGUCAUUAAGUAUCACUUAAUAAUAUUUUUAAUUCAUUUAUAUCCUUUUUAAAUAAUUUUUAAAUUAAUAAAAUUAUUUUUAAACUAUUUAUUAUUAAAUAAAUUUAAUAUUAUUAAUAAUAAAUUAAUAAUCAUUAAUAUUAAUUUAUUAAUAAAGUUAUCCUUUAAAUAUUAAAAGUUAUAUUUAUAACUUCAAAAAUCUUUAAACACUUUAUUUACAUUUAAAAUGAUUUUUUUCUAAUUAUAAAAUCAUUUUUAAUUAAAUUAUUUAAUAUAAUUACUAAUUAAAUCUAAUAGCAUUAAUAUUAAAUAAUUAAUGAAAUUUAUUUUAAAAUAUUAAAAGUUAUAUUUUAUAACUUAAAAUAUUAUUAAAUACCUUUUUAUCAUUUAAAAUGAUUUUUAACAUAAUAAAAUCAUUUUUAAUCAAUUUAUUUAAUGCAUUUAUUAAAUAAAUAAAAUAUAAAUCAUAUCCAAAUAAUUAUUAAUAUUUAUGAAAAAUAUGUCGAAUUAUUAAAAGUUAAUUUUUUAUAACUUCAAAUAAUUUUUAAAACUAUUUUUGGAAUUUUUAAUAAAUAAAUUUUUAUUUUUAAAUGAUUUCUGAAAAAUAAAUUAAAUAAAAUAAAUAAAACUGUCGCUAUAGCCUUUAGCGACAAAAUCUGUCGCCUUAUGUGUCUUGAGCCCUCAAGAACAUUCAUAGCAAUUAACAAGUGAGCACGUUUGACCAAACAUUACUAUCUGAUUAUUGUGUUUCUGGGUAAGUAGAUGAUUAGAGGUUGUAGUACUACUAUCAGACCACACGAUCCAACAGCAAACAUGACCAACAAACAUAAAACCAGAGAGAUCUAGGCUUGCAAAGUGGCUGUCAGAGAUUUUCUUCAUUUCUGGAACCCAGAAAUGAAGAACAGUUCGACUGUCCACUUUUGGGCUUCCACAACUUGAUAUCCUGUUGAUGUUUAAGUGAUUUAAGGCUUUCAGGUUCUAGACCACAUGUAAUACUAUAGAUCUAUCACAAAAUAUCAACAUAACAACACAUCAACCAAAUAUGGACCGGUCAAAGUAGUGGUCAGAAACUGCUUAUGAAAAUUUUUGGGUUACCCAGAAACUUCAUCCGGCAGUUUCGUCCACAAUCGAUUGUUGUGUUCAAAACCAUCUUCCGAUCGAUAAAGCAUGUUUCAACCCAGCCUACUCAUCAUUGAAAGACCUGGA
This 6818-nucleotide long non-coding RNA is filed under the name Panax ginseng (ginseng). RNAcentral's name for it is "long non-coding RNA (PGIN_LNC017952)". The record is from RNAcentral. Lineage: Eukaryota; Viridiplantae; Streptophyta; Magnoliopsida; Apiales; Araliaceae.